UACGGAGGAUCCAAGCGUUAUCCGGAUUUAUUGGGUUUAAAGGGUGCGUAGGCGGGAGAUUAAGUCGGUGGUGAAAUUUUGCAGCUCAACUGUAAAAGUGCCAUUGAUACUGGUUUCCUUGAGUGUGGAUGAAGUAGGCGGAAUUUGUGGUGUAGCGGUGAAAUGCAUAGAUAUCACGAGGAACUCCGAUUGCGCAGGCAGCUUACUAAACCAUAACUGACGCUCAGGCACGAAGGCGUGGGGAUCAAACAGGAUUAGAUACCCU
RNAcentral lists this ribosomal RNA (265 nucleotides) under uncultured prokaryote. Its description in RNAcentral is "partial 16S ribosomal RNA". It matches the Rfam family "Bacterial small subunit ribosomal RNA", at positions 524 to 788 of the family's 1533-position model. The record is from RNAcentral.